AACCUAGCACACCUGCGGUGUGUACCUGCGGAAGGAUCAUUAAUAAAUUGGCGAGCAAUCGCUUUUAUUAUCCAAACACCUGUGAACCAUUUUGGCCUUCGGGCUGAAGAUCUAUAAACAUAACGUGCAGAAUGUAAAUCUAUUAUAACAAUAAUACAACUUUCAACAACGGAUCU
RNAcentral lists this unclassified non-coding RNA (176 nucleotides) under soil metagenome. RNAcentral describes it as "partial contains 5.8S ribosomal RNA, internal transcribed spacer 2, and large subunit ribosomal RNA". The record is from RNAcentral.